CUACGGGGGGCUCCAGUGGGGAAUUUUGCGCAAUGGGGGGAACCCUGACGCAGCAAUACCGCGUGAGUGAAGAAGGCCUUUGGGUCGUAAAGCUCUUUUCUGAAGGAAGAUAGUGACGGUACUUCAGGAAUAAGCACCGGCUAACUCCGUGCCAGCAGCCGCGGUAAUACGGAGGGUGCGAGCGUUGUUCGGAUUUACUGGGCGUAAGGGGCACGUAGGCGGCCUGGCAAGUUAAGGGUGAAAUCCCGGGGCUUAACUCCGGAACUGCUCUUAAAACUGCCAAGCUAGAGAUAGUCAGAGGCGGGUGGAAUUCCUGGUGUAGAGGUGAAAUUCGUAGAUAUCAGGAGGAACACCGGUGGCGAAGGCGGCCCGCUGGGGCUAUUCUGACGCUAAGGUGCGAAAGCGUGGGGAGCGAACGGGAUUAGAUACCCUGGUAGUC
Molecule: ribosomal RNA, 439 nt
Filed under: uncultured bacterium
Lineage: Bacteria
Description: partial 16S ribosomal RNA
Rfam family: Bacterial small subunit ribosomal RNA
Source: RNAcentral